This 374-nucleotide ribosomal RNA is filed under the name uncultured eukaryote. Its description in RNAcentral is "partial 18S ribosomal RNA". It matches the Rfam family "Eukaryotic small subunit ribosomal RNA", at positions 592 to 976 of the family's 1831-position model. The record is from RNAcentral.
UAAUAGUGUAUAUUAAAGUUGUUGCAGUUAAAAAGCUCGUAGUUGAAUGUUGGUGUCGAACGAGCGGUCAGCUUCGGCUGUACUGCUCUCUCGACUCCUUCCUUCUGUGGACUACGUCGCACUUUACUGUGUGGCGCUAGGACGCAGAUCGUUUACUGUGAAAAAAUUAGAGUGUUCAAAGCAGGCCUUUGCUUGAAUACAUUAGCAUGGAAUAAUGGAAUAGGACUUUUGUUCUAUUUUGUUGGUUUCUAGGACAGAAGUAAUGAUUAAUAGGGACAGUUGGGGGCAUUAGUAUUUAAUUGUCAGAGGUGAAAUUCUUGGAUUUAUGAAAGACUAACUACUGCGAAAGCGUUUGCCAAGGAUGUUUNCAUUAA